UAGGUCAUUUGAUAGCGACAAGGCAUAUUAAUGAACAUUGGUGUGAAAUACCUCAUGUAAAUAUGCCAGAGUUUGCAAGAAUGCUAAUUCACGUCCGCCGUCCCUGUAGGCAGGUAAAAGGAAAAAGACGGACACAGUACAAGUGACAAAUAGAGACAGCAAGAUAAAAAUAAACACAAAUACAAAGAGGACAAAGCAUAUUACACUCGAGCCCAAGUAGAAGUGCUCGCAGGUGUGGUUGGCCAUGAGCCAUUGUUUGAGACGAGCCUUAAAAGUGAGAUUUGUAGGCCGCUCUACUGACGGCACACUUUGUCCCAAUGCGGUGCGUCUAAAUGGCACCACACUGUACGGUCCCCUUCACACGUGGUACAAGAAAUACAUAACACAUAUGGGGUUUUCAAUUGAAUGUACCAGAAACCAUUUUUUUUCAUGUUUUGGUAUUUUGUGCUUGAGCUGCGACAGGUUCAAAGGGAGAAGGAAGUUCCCCGUUCGGUCAGAAUCAUUACAGAAGAAACUCUGUUGUGACACUUUCUGUUUGGUAAUGAUCGACUUCCUUCCUUCCCCGACCGAUAGAGCCUGUUCCAAUGAACCGCCUAGAAAAAGUGUUUUUUUAAUUGUCAAAUCUGAGCGGGGGAUUAUUGUGGUAAUGAUAUCAUUCCAAUUAAGUCAGUCAAGUUUAUGCGCAGUGCGCAGUGCUUCAACUUGGUUUCAUAGUCGUGCAUUUCUGUGGCGAGUGCACACUGCGUUUUCCUGACCUGCCUCCCUCCUUUGUCAAGCGCCUCUACCAAAACAUUAACUCAUCACUCAUCUGCAUAUUAAUAUUUAAGCCAUGCAUUUUCCUUUCAAAAUAUGCCAAGAAACACUCGAUAUGGAUUUAAAGGGCUUCUCUGUCCGGGGACUGAAAUGCAAGCAAAUGCAACUUGACUUGUUUUUAAAGAAAAAAACUAUUAUGCGAGCUGUGAUAUUGUCACGUGAGGCAACUUCAACAAAACGAUAAAGUUUGAGCACAGUUUCAAAGUCUUCCUGGAAGGGGAAGGUCUCUAUAUUCUGCUUUUUUUCUCUCUCUCUCUCUCUCCUUAGUGUGCAACUUCAGUUUCACAUCAUUGGUCUGAUUUCUUUCGAAUACUUGCCAGGAAGUUCAAGAAUGUGGUUAGAAUAUAAGAGCAACUUGCAAGAUAAGUUUACUAUCCAAAGAAAAUCCGAUUUUACAUUGUUUUGCACGGUCACCGACCGAAAACUAAACAGUACAAGCGUCAUGGCCGUUUGUGGACGUUGUGAUGAAAACCAGAUCAGCAGCCCUCAGACGAUAAUUCAGUUACUGGGCUCCUGGCUAAUGGCUGCUCCCAAAACAAAUGAUGUUAAAUUUACGUGCGUAUGGCUUUCGUGGCUCAGCCACCAAAUUAGUUGGGGAAAACCGCAACAUCUGCUCUUUUCCACAACACCGCAAGAAAGACUCUGAGUAGUUUGCAUGUAUUACACAAAUACAUUCAUUUCACCUUAUAAGGGGCCUCCCCUGGCGCGGGGCCUUUCAAUGGUAUAUAUAUAGAAUUAGGCAAACCCGUCAAGUUAAUAUUUUAUUAUGUGGAGCAAGACUAAACAUGGUUGACACACAAGGUAAACGGUUUCACAUGGAAACCAGGAAAUGCACACAGCUGCCAACGGUUACUGGCAUCGUGCCACGGGCAAACCUCAACACACUGUUCCAAAAAUGUGAUUGAUUUGGCAACAAUAAAGCACCUUUUUCUUUUAUUCCCUUUGUCUUAAAAACGAUAUGGUGGAAGAGGGAUUCUGAUCAUUUCCAUUUGAUCAUUAAGAGCAGCAGGAGGACAACAACGGCUAAAUAAUGAAGUUCUGCACUCAAACUUCAGCUUGCGUUUGUGUGGUACCUGGUCGGGUUCAGCUAAUAUACAUAAUGCUCGGUAGCUUCUAAUAUUUUACAACCUGAUCAUGUAUUUUAUGUAUAUAUGUAAGUAAAAUCUUCAUCUGCGAGCAUCCUGAAGCCAUCAUGAGUAAACGUACCUCACUUUUCCAACAGCUUUAUUUGGCUGUAAUGUGUGAAUAACCUGCAGUAUUUCUGCGUUGAGGAUCAUGUGGCGAUUAAAAAACAAACAAAGUUACUUGUCUGAUAGGCGGCUCAUGUAUUUCUCAGCCAGGCAACUCUUUGCACCAGCUUGUGGCUCCUGUGCGAUUGCCGCUUGUUGCUCACCGCUCUCUCGCACGGAAAGAUAUAAGCACACUCUUUCUGCGUGACAGUUUUCUGGCCGCAAUAACGUGUUUCUUCACUUCUUUUCUUUUUUUUCUACCCCGAGCUUCCUGUCCCAAGUAUCAGUGAGACGCGCAGACAAACAUCAACUGGAUUGUCUUUCCUCCAGAAAUAACUUCAAAAACAGGUCGGCGUAGCUAUUCAAGCAUGCGGUGUGGGCUGUCUUGUUUUUGCUUAACCCUCAGGACAAAAACAGGUCAGCGGUCUCACCAUCAGCUUUUGACGAGAUGACGUCCCGGCGCACUUCCUCCGGCCCUCAGGGGUCCAUGUGCGGACGGCACUUCGGUUGGGUUGUGCUGGCCAGGCGAUGUGGUCUGUCCGCCUGUUGGAUGACGCCAGCACAGUGUUCGCGCAGAGUCCGUUUCCAAGGUGAACAUGAGGGAAUCAGGCCCGAAGGCCCCUUUCAGCCAGCCGCCGUUCAGAGUGUCCUUCUGCCAAGAUAGACGUUUCCUGGGUGGGCUGCUCAUGUUUCAUGUAGCACUGAUCCACCGCGGUAAUGGAUGUGUUAUUAUACAUACUGUAUAUCCGUCUGUCUGUCCGUCUGAUGAUGGAUUUGUCUCUUGAACCACUAACAUUGAAUCCAGCUAUCUGGUUCUAUGUAACCAGAAAGCCGGGUGCAGUUUACCUGCUCUGUCUUUUGCACCAGGCAAAAAUUCUUCUCUCUGUCGAGUCACAAACUUGUACAGGUUAAAUUCAUGAUGCAACCGAUUUGUGAAGUUUAGUCUCGUCCCGUCGACCAACCAGCAGCCGGCACCCGACCACGGCCGACACCCUGAUGUCACCUGCCGCCUUUUCUCAAGAAUGUUUGCUCUCGCAUUUGAAAGCCUUCGGUCUCGGCCUUGGGGGGUGCCACACUGCUUCCUGGCAUUGUGAGAAAUGUAACAGUCGAGGCAUUUCAGGCACAUGUUUUUGUUUAGUAGCCACAUACUUGCAUGUGAAGAGCUUGUUUUUUAUGUGCUGGAUGGAACUAUUUUGCGUGUCAAAGACAAUAGGACAGGUUGCUCUGUUUUCUCCAGCGCUCCACUCCAGCCUUGGUGGUGUUUAUUUUGCGGCGGACUGACAAAGAGAGGCGCACUGGCCAUAAAACACCCACCGUCGCUUUGAUUCCCAGCAAGAUUUUCCCCUUCAUUUGUUUGGCUAUUGUUGGUAACUCUGUGAAGUCGUGAAAAAAAUCAACCAUCUCUGGAUCAGCGUCAUGUUGCUCAACUAGAGCGCACAAUGUUUGUAUCACUGGAGCCGCCUCCAAACGGGGCAAUAUUAUUGUGUCCAAUUUACGGGCAGCUGAACAAGCUAUCUUAAUCCGCACGAUUUCAUUCAAAUGUGAACCACAAAGGGUCCAUUUGGCAGAAAAGCGCUUGUUCGAUCUGCCAAACAAGAAUUUGUUCACUGACGGGAAACCCGUAGUAGUCUACCUCCUAUUUGAGACGGUGACAACCACCCAACACAAACACUUUCACGCAAUUUUCACUAUUCACUUGCCAAACUGCCGAUCAAAAAGCCGAGGGGAACUUUCAACUUGUCUGAAAUUGAUUAUUUAUGAACUUCACAUUCCUCCCUGCUAAGCCACUUCACUUGCGACAAAAAACCUCAGUGGGUUUUUUUUCUUCCUCUUUUUUACUGACUGCCCAGUCGAGAGCUUCUUUUAAAGGAGAACUUGAAUGCUACUUUCACACAGCACAGAGAAGGGGAAAGCUUGUGGGCACCGACUGACAAGGGCAACUGAGUAACCGCUGAAUAGAGAAAAGCUCUCAGUUCUGCCUCAUUUGCAAUGUCCCUUUCAUAAAACACUGUUCUUCUUCAGCAGAGCCGCUGCCCACGCAAGGGACUCAGAAAUAAUCAGGAGACAGUUCAGUUUCCCUGCAGCUCCCGUCAGACGUGCGGAGGCGGUCACCUCGGGGUCUUAUUGACCGUGUCAGGCACUUUUGACCUCCUCUGACUUACGUGUCAUCUUAAGGCAAACAAAUCACAGAGCAACUAAAAGGACAACUUUAUCUAAAUCUCUUUAAAUGAUCUAUGUCGUGCUGUACAGUGGUACCAAAACAUUCUGAUCAUUCUCAUGCGAAAGUAGCAAUAAACAAUGUACAAGGGGUUUGGGUAAGGAGGUAAAAGGGACUGUCCUGCAGAAAAAUGCCCAAUAGUUAGAUACGGGUUAGAUGUACUGUAUUUUAUCAGCUCAUCAUAGGUUUUGUAUUAAUCAUAACUUGAUCUGUAAGUAACUUGAGAUGCAAAAAUAAAUAUGAGAUGCAAAAAUAAAUAUGAUGAAGAAGAAAAAGUGCAAUAUUUUCCACUUCGAUGCAGUGGGAUAAAGGUAUGAAGCUGCAGAACUACAGCAGUGAGGAAACAGUGACUCACCACUGAUCUCCACCCUGUAAUGACUGCAAAUGUAUCUUCAAACAUUUAUAUAGUUUUUUUUUAAAUCUUUGCUCCUCUUGUCUGCACUUUUGCUACUUUUAAUGGUGAAUUUCAAAUCGCAAAUCAUUCACGAUUAAUUUUUACAUUGAAUACAUAUAUUCUCUUUACUCUUUUAA
This is an RNA transcript of Scophthalmus maximus (turbot), 4791 nucleotides long. RefSeq lists it as uncharacterized. The transcript is spliced from 2 exons. Lineage: Eukaryota; Metazoa; Chordata; Actinopteri; Pleuronectiformes; Scophthalmidae. The record is from RefSeq and is a predicted model, not a curated record.